Molecule: long non-coding RNA, 8674 nt
Filed under: Triticum aestivum (bread wheat)
Lineage: Eukaryota; Viridiplantae; Streptophyta; Magnoliopsida; Poales; Poaceae
Description: long non-coding RNA (TAES_LNC010481)
Source: RNAcentral
UGUCGCAAUAGCAACAAGUUGAAUAGAUAUCCCUGUAUAAACAUGUGACGCCCACGAUUCAAUCGUACACUAAUCAUACACGCAAACGUGUACGAUCAAGAUCAGGGACUCACGGGAAGAUAUCACAACACAACUCUAAAAAUAAGUCAUAUAAGCAUCAUAAUACAAGUCAGGGGCCUCGAGGGCUCGAAUACAAAUGCUCGAUCAUAGACGAGUCAACGGAAGCAACAAUAUCUGAGUACAGACAUAAGUUAAACAAGUUGCCUUAAGAAGGCUAGCACAAACUGGGAUACAAAUCAAAAGAGGCAUAGGCCUCCUGCCUGGGAUCCUCCUAACUACUCCUGGUCGUCGUCAGCGGGCUACACAUAGUAGUAGGCACCUCCGGUGUAGUAGGAGUCGUCGUCAACGAUGGCGUCUGGAUCCUGGGCUCCCUCGUCUGGUCGCCGCAAUCGGGUAUAGAAAAAGGGAAAAGGGGGAACAAGGCAACCGUGAGUACUCAUCCAAUGUACUCGCAAGCAAGGAGCUACACUACAUAUGCAUGGGUAUAUGUGUAAAGGGCCAUAUCAGUGGACUGAACUGCAGAAUGCCAGAAUAAGAGGGGGAUAGCUAAUCCUGUCGAAGACUACACUUCUGGCAGCCUCCGUCUUGCAGCAUGUAGAAGAGAGUAGACUGAAGUCCUCCAAGUAGCAUCGCAUAGCAUAAUCCUACCCGACGAUCCCCUCCUCGAUGCCCUGUUAGAGAGCGAUCACCGGGUUGUAUCUGGCACUUGAAAGGGUGUGUUUUAUUAAGUAUCCGGUUCUACUUGUCAUAAGGUCAAGGUACAACUCCAAGUCGUCCUGUUACCGAAGAUCACGGCUAUUCGAAUAGAUAAACUUCCCUACAGGGGUGCACCACAUUUCCCAACACGCUCGAUCCCAUUCAGCCGGACACACUUUCCUGGAUCAUGCCCGGCCUCGAAAGAUCAACACGUCGCAGCCCCACCUAGGCACAACAGAGAGGUCAGCACGCCGGUCUAAAUCCUAUGCACGCAGGGGUCUGGGCCCAUCGCCCAUUGCACACCUGCACGUUGCGUACGCGGCUGGAGAGCAGACCUAGCAACCUCCAUUACAAAGGAAGUCACGUUACACAGUUCAACCCGAUGCACGCCGCUCAGUCGCUGACGUCACGAAGGCUUUGGCUGAUACAACGAUGUCGAGUGCUCAUAUCUUUCCCGCGUAGUUGGUUAGUGCGUAUAGGCCAGUAGCCAGACUCAGAUCAAAUACCAAGAUCUCGUUAAGCGUGUUAAGUAUCCGCGAACGCCGACCAGGGCCAGGCCCACCUCUCUCCUAGGUGGUCUCAACCUGCCCUGUCGCUCCGCCACAAAGUAACAGUCGGGGGUCGUCGGGAACCCAGGCCCACCACUACCUGGGUGGAACCACCUGCCCCUUCAGCCCCCAUCUCCAAACAGCAUCACAGGUAAUGUAACAGUGUAAAGUAUAUAGUAUAUGCCCGUGAUCACCUCCCGAAGUGAUCACGGCCCAGUAGUAUAGUAUGGCAGACGGACAAGAGUGUAGGGCCACUGAUGGAACACUAGCGUCCUAUACUAAGCAGUAGGAUAGCAGGUAAAGGUAACAACAGUAGUAGCAAGGACAGGCUAUGCAGCAGUAUAGGAUUAACUGAAAGCAGUAACAUGCUAGACUACUCUAAUGCAAGCAGUAUAGAGAAGAAUAGGCGAUAUCUGGUGAUCAAGGGGGGGCUUGCCUGGUUGCUCUCGCAAGGAGGGGCCAUCUUCGAUGUAGUCGAACACACGAACAUCGGCAGCGGUCUCGGAGUCUACCGGAAAGAAGUAACGGAGGGGAACACAAUAAAUAACAGAGCAAUCAAAUGUAACACAAAGCAAGACGCGGCAAUACAUUGUGCUAAGGGUGACCUCACGCAGGGAUAGGUGAUACCGGCGAAAGGGGAAACAUCCGGGAAAGUAUCCCCGGUGUUUCGCGUUUUCGGACAAAUGAACCGGAGGGAAAAAGUUUCGUGUUUGUUAUGCUAGGGAUGUGUGGCGGACAAACGGGCUACACAUACGGAUUCGUCUUGUCGUUCUGAGCAACUUUCAUGUACAAAGUUUUUUCAUCCGAGCUACGGAUUAUUUUAUAAUAAUUUUCAAAGAUUUAAUCAUAUUAAGGAAUUAUCUUAAUUCAAGAAUAAAAGUGAAGUUGCUAAGUGUACACAACAAGUGUACACAUCCUGGUCAUUAGAGGCUGACAGUGGGCCCUGUUGACCAGGUCAACUGUUUACCAGCUGACUGGUCAACUAGGUAGGGGACCCGCAUGUCAGUUUCUGUUAGUGUUAUCUAAUUAGCCAAUUAGGUAAUUAGGGAUAAUUAAGGAGAAUUAACUUAGUUACUUAAUUAAUUAAUUUAAUUAUUAUUUUUAUUAUAUAUAUUUUUGUUUCCAGGGGCUGGGCCCCACGUGCAGUGGCACACAGGCCUAAGCGGGCGCUGGGCGCUGGGCGUGGGUGCGGGCGUGCGCCCGUGGGAGCGGACUCCGGCCAGGGGGAGGGCAUGGCCCCGGGCGGGGACGGCGGCCACAGCAUGCGGUGGCCGCGCUGGCAGGCAGUGGCGCACGCGGGCUAAGGCGAGAGGCGGCUGCGGCGCGCGAUGCGGAGCGGCGGCCAGCGCAGGGUCACCGAUGGGCGCGCGAUGGGGGCGCUGGAGAGCAGGGUGUGGCCCUGGACGACGGCGACCCUGGUGCACGGGGAUUGCGGCGCUAGGAUCUGGCGGCGGGGGGGCUAAGCAGCGGCGUGGCCAGCGCGGUGAGAAGCAGAGGUGGGGCGCGGCAGAAGCAGUAGCGAACAGCAGGAGGCGAGGCAGGCGCGCGGCGGCUGUAGCGGGGCAGUUGCAGAGCGCGACCGGAUGGCGUGGGUCGCGUGUGCAGGGGCGCCCAGGAGCUCGUGGGCGUGCGCUGGGGUGAGCCCGGAGAGGGGCGUGGUCAGGGCCAUGGGCGAGCACGCGCGGAGCGAGCUUCGGCCAUGGCGGCGCAGCGCGGGGACGGCCUCAACGGCGACAAAUCGAAGCAGGGAGAGAGGGGUUUGGGAAAUAAGCUCACAGCGGUGCUUGCAGGGACAAGCAGCGGGCUCGGUGGUGGCGAAUUGAAGAUGGCCGCCUGCGAUGCAGAAAGUUGGAGACGGGGUUCGGUCGCGUCGUCUUGGUGCUCCUUCGGAGGCGUUCGUCGGUGUAGUGGAAGAAGACCCUGAGGCGGACCUCGCAGGCACAGUGUGCGGGCAAUUCAACGGUGGUGUCCACAGAUAUGGGCACCGCACGGCGACCGCGGCGCUCGGCCUCGAUCCAGAUCGAGAGAGAGGCGAGCGAGGGAGGAAGGGGAGGGGGUCGAGUGGGGAAAGUGGCAGGGGACCGAGGCGCCAGGGAGUGGCCUUAUCCCCCAGUCGGCGUGGCAGCGCGGGGCGCCGCACCGGGUCCGGCGGAGACGAGCGGUGUGGUCGGUCGGUCGGUCGAUUGAACAGGAGGGAGAGAAAGGGGUGACCGGGAAAGGGGGUUGCCACAGGCGGCAGGGCCUGCCUAGUUGCUAUGGCCCGGGGGGGUGGGGCUUUACUUCCUUUUGCUUUUGCCUUUUCUUUUAUUUCUUUUCUAUUUUCAUUUCUUUUUAAAACCAAAAUCAGUUUUCUAAACUAUAACACUUGCACCUAAAAUAGUAAUAUAAAUUAGGCUACUCCCACAAUUAGUUUGCCACCAAAUUAAAAUAGUCUACAAUUUUUUUAUGAUUUGAAAAGGCAUGUAAUAUUUGUUGUAGCCAUUGCUUUAAUUAUUUUAGGGUAUUCAAACAUUUAGUAAAAUUUUGGUUCACCACCUAUAAUUAGUCAUGGAUUAGUUGCCACAAGAAGAACAUUUUAUUUUUAAUAUUUGAAAACUUUUGUGGUUUGCCUUUAACUCAAAUUUGAAUUUGAAUCGUCUUGAACUAAUGCGAGAUUAACAACAAUGACCGUGGUGACGUGGCAUCAUUAACAAGGAAUUGUUGUAGCUUAAAUAUCCGGGCAUCACAAUUCUCCUCCACUACAAGAAAUCUCAUCCCGAGAUUUAAGAGGUAGAGUAAGGGGGAAAGAUCUGUUUACGAAAUUCUAACGAAUCUUCUCGGUCUUGGUUGCUCCUCUCGAAGUGGUCGAUCCAUUAUAUUGAUGUCUUUAUUUCUCUGCUUCAGGUCAUCAUGAUGAAGUCAACGUCCUUUCUUCAGGAACUCCAUCGUACUUACGAAAGAAUAAUGGGUGGGCAUUCCGGGAGAACAGACCUCUGUAAGGUCGACUAUCUGGUCGAUAAUACCGAGGAAGGUGGCGGAAGUCACUCGCGAAUUGAAACUUAAGAAGGCAAUCGUUCGAUGCCUGAAACAAUGCGUGAAAGGGGCUCAAGGCAACGAGUAUAGGUGUUGUGUUUAAUACCGUAAUUUGAUGAUCACACGGAAGGUGGCUCGUGAAUUACAUAUGAAGCCAAGCAUGAGGAAUAACCUUAGAAACAGGGUUGUACAAGAGAGUCAGGUUUCGAUCCUGCGGAACUGUGGGUUAUGGGCCCACCAUGUGGGUUAAAGUAGGGAGGACGGUGGCAUCUUGCACGAUCAUGAUAGCAAGGCAUGUCAGAGCGUAGCCUGUCAGUUAUAUGUCAGCAACAACGUCGGUACCAAGGGCGAGGGACGAAGAGAACCAUUUUCCUGCUCGUUGAAACGAGGCGGACCAAUAAGCAAGGUUCCCGUCCAUCGGUGGUUACUGGAAUGUCAUCGACAAUAGUAACAAAGUCUUACUGACAGAGUUGUACACCGAGGUGUUUGCACAAGCAGUGAAUUAUUACUGCUUAUAACAUAUAGAUCAUAGAAAGGGUUUAAACAAACCAAUGGAAAGAAAAAAAUUGUUUAUCAAAUUUAGUCAGAACAAUGGAAAGAAAAAAAUGUGUUUAAACACAUAAUUCAGGGGUAUAUCCUUCCCAAGGACCAGCAGAGCAUGAUAUCCAUGACAGGAUAUUAUGUAGAAAACUCCUUAGGUAGGGGAGAGAAAUUUCAUGACAUUGCCCAUACAACGGUGUUUGGAUAAUUGUGCAAGAAACAUUUAGCAUUGGGCUUCAAAUGUUCUUGUUGAAGAUCAGAGUAUCACAGACAUGCUUUCAGAUAGCAUUGACAUGGUCUUCAAGCAAAGGUCAUACUUUGGAUACACAAAGGAUCCAUCAUGAACAACUUAUAGAAUAAUCCUUACAAUUUCCUCAUGGGAGAAUGGCUAACCUUGCUAAAAGGAAGCGAUAACAAUAGGUCCUCCGGCCAGGUGUGCUAGGCAUGACAUCACCUUACCGAGUCAUAAGAGGACCAAUGUUAUAACUCUUGAAAGUAUGUUCCGACCAUCAUAUCUGACCGAGAUUCAGAUCUGAUUGGUGUGAGGAUACCUCAGGCUCAGGAUGCCUGAGAACAAAAGGUGUGACAAAAUGACGAGAAGACAUUAUAAGAUUCUCGGGAAAUGAACUAUGGAACCGAGUUCCGAAACAAGAGUUCAUCAGUAAACCAAGGAGAGGAUGAGGAGGUGGCUGAUGGACUCAGUGACAAAUCAUUGAGAUUUCCAAAGGGUGGAUUUCCACAAUUAUUUGAACAAGGAGAUAACAUUUGCCAGGUCAAAUGGUAUAAUGAUGUAUGCUUGAGGAAAACCUACACAAUUAAACAUUGGUUGAAAGAUGCACCCGAUAUAUGGGCUAGGUAGCAUGACCAAUGUUAGAAUGGUGAACCAAUAACCAAUAGUUUAAGAAUGAACUGUCAACCAGUAACUUCAAAGCAAUAGGGUUGCUAGAAGUUUUGAAAUUUCAUAUCACAGCCCAAUUGUCAGUAUUCCGGUUAGAAACAACACGGGGACCAAGAAAAGAAUGGUGAUCGUGAUAAGUAUCACUUAUAUCAAGAAUUCUCAAGAGGUGGUGAAAUUCUCACGACAUUCUUGACAUAAAAUAUGGUAAUACUCCAAGGUAAAGAAGAACAAUUGCUGGAUAGCAAGGAUCUCAAGGUACAACACAAAACAUGAACAAGUUUGUGUUGAACGAAAGGCAACAAAGUGGUCGAUGACAACACAAAUCAUCAAGGGCAAGCAUGGAAUUUUUCAUCAUGAAUUCAAUUGAUACCUCAGAAGAAGUUAAAAUGUUGACAAUGAUCACGACACACUUGUCGAGAGGUUUCUUGCAGAUGUAAUCGAUCAACGAUGACAUCAAGUCAAAGGAAUGAUGAAGCGGAAGGUUAUUGGAACCAUGGGUAGGACACAAACUUUAAAUCAAGCUUGUUGUUCAAGGAUAAACGAUAUGACGAGGAAGAUCGAUUAUAAGAUUAGCUCACCGUCAAAAAUUGUGCUCCAGGAAGAAGGAUCAGGUAGCACAGUUAAAAUUUGGCACGAUAAUGAUAUAGCCGAUCAGGCUAGGAAUGACUUGAAGGAUUAUUAAACUUGUAAGCAACGAAAAUUGCUUAAGAGUUAUUGAAUCGGAGUGCAGAAUCGAUUCACUUAUCGGUGUUCUCGGUCGACAAACAACCCAGAACCCAUGAAGUGGCAAAGACAAGGUAAGGUAGUACUUCAUCAAAGUUAAUAAUAUGUAGUGCAAUGGCAAGAUAUCCUCAAGAUACCAGGGGUAAUACUCAAAGGUAGAUCAUAAUAGAGGUUGGGCAGGCGUAUUGACCUGCAGAAGACAAGUGAUUUAACUUGUCCAAGAAAUGGAAUCAAGGAGAAAAUAUGGUCGGAACCAUGUUUGCAAAGGAUCGAUUCACUAUACCAAAUGAUAUUAUAUCAAGGAAAUAGUUAUUAUUACAAGAAGCUUUCAUGAUAGGAUCCACAUCGUGUCCACGGGCAUGAACACAAAGUUCAAGGUCGACUCCCACUUCUACAAUGCAUAACCUUUCAUUCACUUCUCGUUUUCGAAGAAUUUGUAGUGUUGAAAUUUUAUCUGGCAAAAUACCAGAAGAGUAUGACUCAUGAAAACUUUCAAGUUCACACAUAUUAAGGAAGGCAUAGGUUCAACCCAUCAGGGUCUUGUAGGAACAUAUAACACAAACUUCAGGAGUAAAUAACACAAGCUCGAAAGCAGAGCAUGGUUGGUCAAUCAGAGGAUAGGAUUUACCAAUGGAGAAAGAACUUCCAAAGUGUUAGAAUAUGAAGGACGCUAUCGGAUAAAAUCCAACAAAGGAUCCGAGGUCCUCAAGGGGUCUGAUGUGAGCAUCGGUACUCAACCAGAGGAGGAAACAAUGCAAGGAGAUCAGACUAUAGAAACAACUGACUAAUUCAAAUCUCAAAUGCAAAAGAAUUAUGAUUUUCGAUCAAGGGAUCAGAAGCAAAUGCUCUGAUUAAGGAUGUAUAAGUUGAAUAGACUUAGGGGUACAAUAGAUGGCAAUCUGAUUGAUUAAGAACCAGCUCAUAUUCAAACUGACACUGAGCCGGAAGGAUGAAUUCUAGGAUUCGAUUGAGGGAUGCGAGCACCCUCAACAUAUUGAAUCAACGGACUUAAAAUGAUAAAGACAAGGGAUGCCAAUAAUAUUACGAGACUUAUGGGAUUAACCAUAAUCCAAGCAAGCAAGAAUUUCAAGAGCAAUAGGCUGCUCAGGAUUUUUGGAAGAUCGAAUGGUAUUUCGAAGUCUAUUGCGAAACACAUGAACAACUGGGAAUGAGCGGAUACUUGAUAAGUGCGAGGAAUUAUCCGUAGGGGUAUUCAUGCGGCAAGAUCUGUAAGGCAGUAGGCACAAAAUAUUCUCGGAACAAUAGAGAGGAUUUCAGGGUAUCUUGUAAUAACAAGACCAACUGGGGAUAAAAGUAAGAACCGCAAGUGUAUGUAUUUAUCCAUAGGGAUAUUUUGAUGGUAGGGAAUUGCAAAAGCAACGGGCACAAGUCUCAAAAGAGUAUCGGAGAGUAACUUCGAAAUCUUCUGGUGCAACAGACGAUCAUCUGUAACAAGGGGCUCUCUAGUAGAAAGUUGUUACGAGAACCUAAUGUUAGAGUUUAGCAAAUUCAUUUAACCCAAAUAGAAGAGAGAACAGAGUCCCAGAGUAUAGGUCGAGGAAUAAAAGAUCCUAAUACCACCCAAUGGCGACGUGGGCCCGUAAGCCGCACAGCCAUGUUAGUAAAAACUUUUUCAAUGACUAGACUCGACUUCGGCCAAGGAGUUGGAAAGGGGGAUUCCUACAGGAGUCGGCUCUGAUACCAACUUGUGACGCCCCCGAUUCAAUCGUACACUAAUCAUACACGCAAACAUGUACGAUCAAGAUCAGGGACUCACGGGAAGAUAUCACAACACAACUCUAAAAAUAAGUCAUACAAGCAUCAUAAUACAAGCCAGGGGCCUCGAGGGCUCGAAUAAAAAUGCUCGAUCAUAGAUGAGUCAGCGGAAGCAACAAUAUCUUAGUACAGACAUAAGUUAGACAAGUUGCCUUAAGAAGGCUAGCACAAACUGGGAUACAGAUUGAAAGAGGUGUAGGCCUCCUGCCUGGGAUACUCCUAACUACUCCUGGUCGUCGUCAGCGGGCUGCACGUAGUAGUAGGCACCUCCGGUGUAGUAGGAGUCGUCGUCAACGGUGGCGUCUGGAUCCUGGGCUCCCUCGUCUGGUCGCAGCAAUCAGGUAUAGAAAAAGGGAAAAGGGGGAACAAGGCAACCGUGAGUACUCAUCCAAUGUACUCGCAAGCAAGGAGCUACACUACA